AUGAAAUUAUUAGACCCUAGUCUUCAUCUUCACGGCAUCGUAGGAGGUCCAAGGCUGGGGCCGCUGAGAUCGAGGACAAGGGUAAGGGGAGGCGGAGAAUCACCACUGGGGCGGAUCUUGGCGAGGCUUUGUAGUGCUGCCUUCACGCUGUGCCUUCUUAGAGUUAAGCCAAUCUCUUAAUCCAUUGAUGGUUUACCCUGUGCUGGAGGCUGGAGGCUGGAGGCGUCUUUGGUGACCGGGAGGAGGAAUGUGUUCGGCAAGGAGAUGGCUUGAGCAUGGAACCGGUGGAUCAGAGAGACAAUGAAGAAGAAAAAGAAGAAGAAAUAGCUGCAGCCGCUCCGAGAAGCCAUGGAUGAUGAGAGAGAGUGAGUGAGAGAGAGAGAGAGAGAGAGUAUGAGGAGGAGCUGUGAUAAGAGAAAAGGCUAUGUAGUGAGGAAGUUUGGACACAGUUGUCGAUGAGAGAGAUAAGGAGGGGGGAGUUUUCUUGUACUUUAUAUUAUUUUUUUUUAAAUAAUAAUUAUUUAUUUAUUUUAUAAUUAAACAUGCGAUUUGACUCAUCGAACUCCAAACCAUGAACCAAUAUCUC
Molecule: non-coding RNA, 586 nt
Organism: Punica granatum (pomegranate)
Lineage: Eukaryota; Viridiplantae; Streptophyta; Magnoliopsida; Myrtales; Lythraceae
Source: RefSeq, a predicted model, not a curated record